Molecule: ribosomal RNA, 497 nt
Filed under: uncultured bacterium
Lineage: Bacteria
Description: partial 16S ribosomal RNA
Rfam family: Bacterial small subunit ribosomal RNA
Source: RNAcentral
GAUGAACGCUGGCGGCGUGCCUAAUACAUGCAAGUCGAGCGAACAGAUAAGGAGCUUGCUCCUUUGACGUUAGCGGCGGACGGGUGAGUAACACGUGGGUAACCUACCUAUAAGACUGGGAUAACUUCGGGAAACCGGAGCUAAUACCGGAUAACAUUUGGAACCGCAUGGUUCUAAAGUGAAAGAUGGUUUUGCUAUCACUUAUAGAUGGACCCGCGCCGUAUUAGCUAGUUGGUAAGGUAACGGCUUACCAAGGCAACGAUACGUAGCCGACCUGAGAGGGUGAUAGGCCACCCGGGAACUGAGACACGGUCCAGAGUCCUACGGGAGGCAGCAGUAGGGAAUCUGCCGCAAUGGGCGAAAGCCUGACGGAGCAACGCCGCGUGAGUGAUGAAGGGUUUCGGCUCGUAAAACUCUGUUAUUAGGGAAGAACAAAUGUGUAAGUAACUGUGCACGUCUUGACGGUACCUAAUCAGAAAGCAACGGCUAACUACGUG